UAAUUCAGAUCUGAUCUUUAACAUGGGGCAGUUCAAAUUACUGGGGUUUUGUUUCAGUAUGGGAAAUGGUCACUUUUGCUCUUUGAGUAUUGAGUUCUUGUUGGAAGCUUGAACUGCAUUUCUGGAUAUGUGAAAGCAGUUUUACUUGACAUGUCUUUUGAUAUUUUUAUUGUGAUGUUUUUCCCUUUUUACCAGAGUUUUUGAAGGCCAAGU
Molecule: unclassified non-coding RNA, 213 nt
Filed under: Hevea brasiliensis (rubber tree)
Lineage: Eukaryota; Viridiplantae; Streptophyta; Magnoliopsida; Malpighiales; Euphorbiaceae
Source: RNAcentral